UAGGGGCUCGGAACCGGGAUGGUGCUCAAGUGUCGUUCUUAAUAUACACUACACUCGGACCUGAGGUAAAGAAAAGGAAAAGCUGGACCAGCCAUGAGUUGGAGAGCCUUAGGGGCAGAGUGUAUAUAUGCGGCCUGCUCAUCCGCCACGGCCGAGGCUAUCAGUUGGAACUAGGGUUGGACCUUGAUUUUGCCGCCUAGGUCGGCUUUUGUAUUCAUUUUUGGGUUUGUAAUCGUUUUAAAAUACGAUAAGAUCCCAUGUAUAGAAGUUAAACUCUUUUAAUGAAAUGGUUGACCU
Molecule: long non-coding RNA, 297 nt
Organism: Humulus lupulus (European hop)
Lineage: Eukaryota; Viridiplantae; Streptophyta; Magnoliopsida; Rosales; Cannabaceae
Exons: 2
Source: RefSeq, a predicted model, not a curated record